UACAGAGGUCCCAAGCGUUGUUCGGAUUCAUUGGGCGUAAAGGGUGCGUAGGUGGCGCCGUAAGUCGGGUGUGAAAUUUCGGAGCUUAACUCCGAAACUGCAUUCGAUACUGCGGUGCUUGAGGACUGGAGAGGAGACUGGAAUUCAUGGUGUAGCAGUGAAAUGCGUAGAGAUCAUGAGGAAGACCAGUGGCGAAGGCGGGUCUCUGGACAACACCUGACACUGAGGCACGAAAGCUAGGGGAGCAAACAGG
This 253-nucleotide ribosomal RNA is filed under the name uncultured bacterium. RNAcentral describes it as "partial 16S ribosomal RNA". It matches the Rfam family "Bacterial small subunit ribosomal RNA", at positions 524 to 776 of the family's 1533-position model. The record is from RNAcentral.